GAUGAACGCUGGCGGCGUGCUUAACACAUGCAAGUCGAACGAAGCACUUUAUUUGAUUUCCUUCGGGACUGAUUAUUUUGUGACUGAGUGGCGGACGGGUGAGUAACGCGUGGGUAACCUGCCUUGUACAGGGGGAUAACAGUUGGAAACGGCUGCUAAUACCGCAUAAGCGCACAGCAUCGCAUGAUGCAGUGUGAAAAACUCCGGUGGUAUAAGAUGGACCCGAGUUGGAUUAGCUAGUUGGUGAGGUAACGGCCCACCAAGGCGACGAUCCAUAGCCGACCUGAGAGGGUGACCGGACACAUUGGGACUGAGACACGGCACAGACUCCUACGGGAGGCAGCAGUGGGGAAUAUUGCACAAUGGGCGAAAGCCUGAUGCAGCGACGCCGCGUGAGCGAAGAAGUAUUUCGGUAUGUAAAGCUCUAUCAGCAGGGAAGAUAAUGACGGUACCUGACUAAGAAGCACCGGCUAAAUACGUG
This 481-nucleotide ribosomal RNA is filed under the name uncultured bacterium. RNAcentral describes it as "partial 16S ribosomal RNA". It matches the Rfam family "Bacterial small subunit ribosomal RNA", at positions 28 to 507 of the family's 1533-position model. The record is from RNAcentral.